RNAcentral lists this transfer RNA (59 nucleotides) under Alouatta caraya (black howler monkey). RNAcentral describes it as "tRNA-Ser". The record is from RNAcentral. Lineage: Eukaryota; Metazoa; Chordata; Mammalia; Primates; Atelidae. RNAcentral also lists the same sequence under 1 other name.
GAGAAAGCACGCAAGAACUGCUAAUUCAUGCCCCCAAGCUUAAUAACUUGGCUUUCUCA